Molecule: long non-coding RNA, 1356 nt
Filed under: Felis catus (domestic cat)
Lineage: Eukaryota; Metazoa; Chordata; Mammalia; Carnivora; Felidae
Description: lncRNA (ENSFCAG00000045938.2)
Source: RNAcentral
AUGUUUGGGCCUCCUUCAAGCCUCACCCCAAGGUGCCCCACAUAAGGCCUGUCUAUGGUGAGGUUGCCGAGAGUAAACACGGCGUUCUAUACAGAGUGGACUGGCAGGGGCUGAGCCGGCACCAGAACACAAGGCAUCUUUCUCUUUAAGCCACUCCAUCCUGAGAGUGACAGGUGAACUGCAGGUCAGAAGGAAGGAGGAGGGAGAGUGAGACAGAAAGAAGCAGGACUGCAGCCUCAAAGGGAGAGGCAGAGGAGGAACCUGAGACAGAACAUGUCCAAAGUUACACAUGCGGUACACAAUAGAGCGGGAAUCUGAACCAGGUAGUCUGCUUCUGACUCUGCAUUAUCUCAGUUAUGGUGGCACAGAACUUAAACUGACAGGAUAUGUGGCUAAGCCCACUAUCUCUACAGGACCCAACAAUUGUCAAGGCCAUGUAAAUCCAGCAUCUAACUUAACCAUCACUGCAAGCCCUGCAUCUCUCACCUGGAUGUAUCAGCCAAAGCUCUGAGGGGCUAAGACAUGGCUGAUCCAGUGGCACUAGCCUCACAUGCCCUUACUUCUGUCUAGCCCUCUGACAGGACACCAGCCUGAUUCUUAGGGCUGGGGAUGGAGCAGACACUCCCAAAAUUAUUGUUGGAUCUGAAGAAAUUGAUUUGGGAUAAGAAUGGAAGACCUGGAAGCAGAGGAAUAUAACAUACCUGGACUCUUAGGCCCAGAGUCGUCCUUAACUGCAGGCUUCGAUUCAUCAGCCGAUGGCCUUGAUGUCAUGGCCACGGCUGGGUUGAGCCAGGCCUCCGGGAAAACCCAGCCAGGAACUGCAGUGCGGGAGUCCGAUCCACAGACACAAGCCAUUACAGCAUCUCUUGCAUGCCCGCCAAGCUUCCUUCCCUCCCCCGCCAACACCUCCACCCCAACCCUCACCUCAAGUGCCAGCAGGAGCUCUCACUCUUCUCCUGGCCCCCACCCUGAUGCCAUCUGCCAGGCCGUGCACUGGCCUAGCUGUGCCCGGGAGUGGGCACCAUGCCAUGGCAGCACACAGGCCUGCAUGCCGGGCGACCAGGCGAGCAUGUGUGAGCCCUGCGUGUGCUCUCCCACAUUUCCCUUCGUCUUUCUGAUAUUUAGUUUCGAAAUCAGCCUUGCCACGUCUCUCCAUGGAAAAGCCCACUCUGCCUUUGUAGCAACGCCUCGCAAGCACCUGCCCGAGCUCCCGAGAGGGGCGCCAUGUGGACAGGUGACCGCCAGCUGGGGGUGGGGGGGCAUCCUAGGCCCUCGGCCACUUUUGCCACCUGUGAAUCCUGCAGUUCCAGCAAAGACAUUGCUCUGAUGGGGACUGUUCUGCAGGAAGGCAAAUGU